RNAcentral lists this ribosomal RNA (1288 nucleotides) under uncultured rumen bacterium. RNAcentral describes it as "bacterial SSU rRNA". It matches the Rfam family "Bacterial small subunit ribosomal RNA", at positions 46 to 1287 of the family's 1533-position model. The record is from RNAcentral.
GCUAACACAUGCAAGUCGAACGGGGAUUUUGUUUCGGCAGAAUCCUAGUGGCGAACGGGUGAGUAACGCGUAGGCAACCUGCCCUCCGGCCGGGGACAACACUCCGAAAGGGGUGCUAAUACCGGAUACGAAGUCUGUGCCGCAUGGUACGGAUUUGAAAGAUGGCCUCUGUUUACAAGCUAUCGCCGGGGGAUGGGCCUGCGUCCGAUUAGCUGGUUGGUGGGGUAACGGCCUACCAAGGCGACGAUCGGUAGCCGGUCUGAGAGGAUGAACGGCCACAUUGGGACUGAGACACGGCCCAGACUCCUACGGGAGGCAGCAGUGGGGAAUCUUCCGCAAUGGGCGCAAGCCUGACGGAGCAACGCCGCGUGAGUGAGGAAGUUCUUCGGAACGUAAAGCUCUGUUGUUCCUGACGAACCUCCCUUCUAUCAACAACGGAGGGGACUGACGGUAGGGAACGAGGAAGCCACGGCUAACUACGUGCCAGCAGCCGCGGUAAUACGUAGGUGGCAAGCGUUGUCCGGAAUUAUUGGGCGUAAAGCGCAUGUAGGCGGUAAUUUAAGUCUGUCGUGAAACUGCGGGGCUCAGCCCCGUAUGGCGAUGGAAACUGGGUUACUUGAGUGCAGGAGAGGAAAGGGGAACUCCCAGUGUAGCGGCGAAAUGCGUAGAUAUUGGGAAGAACACCGGUGGCGAAGGCGCCUUUCUGGACUGUGUCUGACGCUGAGAUGCGAAAGCCAGGGUAGCGAACGGGAUUAGAUACCCCGGUAGUCCUGGCCGUAAACGAUGGGUACUAGGUGUGGGAGGUAUCGACCCCUUCCGUGCCGGAGUUAACGCAAUAAGUACCCCGCCUGGGGAGUACGGCCGCAAGGCUUAAACUCAAAGGAAUUGACGGGGGCCCGCACAAGCGGUGGAGUAUGUGGUUUAAUUCGACGCAACGCGAGAACCUUACCAGGGCUUGACAUCGACUGAAAGAUGCAGAGAUGUAUCCCUCUCUCGAGACAGGAAGACAGGUGUUGCAUGCUGUCGUCAGCUCGUGUCGUGGGAUGUUGGGUUUAGUCCCGCAACGAGCGCAACCCUAUCCUAUGUUACCAUCAUUAAGUUGGACCUCAUAGGAUACUGCCAGGGACAACCUGGAGGAAGCGGGAUGACGUCAGUCAUCUUGCCCUUAUGUCUGGGCUACAACGUUACUACAUUGUCGGAAACGAGGUAAUCGAAUCCCUGUGCUGUACGUAAUCCAUACCGGUCCAUUCGAUCGACGGUCACACGCGUGCUGAAUGCGAAUGCCGUC